This 627-nucleotide ribosomal RNA is filed under the name Triticum aestivum (bread wheat). RNAcentral describes it as "partial small subunit ribosomal RNA". Lineage: Eukaryota; Viridiplantae; Streptophyta; Magnoliopsida; Poales; Poaceae. The record is from RNAcentral.
AUGAAGUUUGCCGACGAGAAGUUAGCUUCAGUCACUAAGCUUGAACAAGAAAAUACCAAUCUGAAAGCUGCUCUUGAGAAGAAACAUGAUCUGGAGGCCUUCCUGAAUGGUCUUGCCAAGAAGCUGUUCCUUAUGCUUGAAGAAUUUUGUCAAGACUUUGAAGAAGAGACUAGCCGGCUGGAACCAAACCUUGACCCCGUCAAUUCUCCGGUGGACGACGAAGUUGCCAUGAAUGUUUUCCGACUGGAGUCCCGUGUCGCAACUGUCGUGGACUAUCUCGCAAGGCUGAAGGUCGCCACAUCUCGCAUCGACUCAACGCUCUGGCCCGGGGAGACACUCCAGCACGACCUCGAGUCGCUGAUGGCUCGCUUGAACACAAUCCCUGGUCGAGUGCAGGAGUGGAAAAAGUCCUCGGCUCGGUGCGGUGCAGAUGUUGCUCUGUGUCUGGCCCGAGUCCACUGCAAAGAUGCGCGAGAAGACAAGCUGGCGGCCCUCCGGGUGGCCAACACCAAGAAACACGACUUCAGGUCCUUCAUGGAAACUUUCAUUGCUGCUGCCACUCGGAUCGCAGAUGGAAUUGAUCUUGAUGAGUUUGUUGCACCUUCCAGCCCUUCACAGGAGGGGUAA